GAUGAACGCUGGCGGCGUGCCUAUCCAUGCAAGUCGAGCGAACAGACGAGGAGCUUGCUCCUCUGACGUUAGCGGCGGACGGGUGAGUAACACGUGGAUAACCUACCUAUAAGACUGGGAUAACUUCGGGAAACCGGAGCUAAUACCGGAUAAUAUAUUGAACCGCAUGGUUCAAUAGUGAAAGACGGUUUUGCUGUCACUUAUAGAUGGAUCCGCGCCGCAUUAGCUAGUUGGUAAGGUAACGGCUUACCAAGGCAACGAUGCGUAGCCGACCUGAGAGGGUGAUAGGCCACACUGGAACUGAGACACGGUCCAGACUCCUACGGGAGGCAGCAGUAGGGAAUCUUCCGCAAUGGGCGAAAGCCUGACGGAGCAACGCCGCGUGAGUGAUGAAGGUCUUCGGAUCGUAAAACUCUGUUAUUAGGGAAGAACAAAUGUGUAAGUAACUAUGCACGUCUUGACGGUACCUAAUCAGAAAGCCACGGCUAACUACGUG
Molecule: ribosomal RNA, 496 nt
Filed under: uncultured bacterium
Lineage: Bacteria
Description: partial 16S ribosomal RNA
Rfam family: Bacterial small subunit ribosomal RNA
Source: RNAcentral